This 253-nucleotide ribosomal RNA is filed under the name uncultured bacterium. Its description in RNAcentral is "partial 16S ribosomal RNA". It matches the Rfam family "Archaeal small subunit ribosomal RNA", at positions 474 to 727 of the family's 1478-position model. The record is from RNAcentral.
UACCAGCACCCCGAGUGGUCGGGACGAUUAUUGGGCCUAAAGCAUCCGUAGCCGGUCUUGCAAGUCUUCCGUUAAAUCCAGCUGCUUAACAGAUGGGCUGCGGAAGAUACUACAAGACUAGGAGGCGGGAGAGGCAAGCGGUACUCAAUGGGUAGGGGUAAAAUCCUCUGAUCCAUUGAAGACCACCAGUGGCGAAGGCGGCUUGCCAGAACGCGCUCGACGGUGAGGGAUGAAAGCUGGGGGAGCAAACCGG